Molecule: long non-coding RNA, 350 nt
Filed under: Coffea arabica (coffee)
Lineage: Eukaryota; Viridiplantae; Streptophyta; Magnoliopsida; Gentianales; Rubiaceae
Description: long non-coding RNA (CARA_LNC003061)
Source: RNAcentral
UUUUCAUAUUUUCAUCAUUAUGGUGCAUGUUGAGAUUAUCCUAUUAAAAUGUAAGCAUGUCUUGUAUUUUAUUUAUAUUAAGAGGUAAGGUAUCAUAUCCCUCUCCAUCAUGCACACUUUUACAUGAUUUAAAGAAAACUAGUUUUUUUAAGCACCCUAUUUAUCUAGAACAGUCACUACAAAAUUAUGAGACCAUCAAUUACAAACUCAGCAAACUCAUAUUAGGUUGUUUUAAUUGUGUGGAGAGACUUUACACUAGCUACUGCCGUCAAAAUAAGGUUAACAACAAAUGUAAUGUUUGUUAAUUUAAUUUCAGCACCUAGGAAGAAAGUAGAGCUUUUAACGAGUAG